This 1092-nucleotide ribosomal RNA is filed under the name Triticum aestivum (bread wheat). RNAcentral describes it as "partial small subunit ribosomal RNA". Lineage: Eukaryota; Viridiplantae; Streptophyta; Magnoliopsida; Poales; Poaceae. The record is from RNAcentral.
AUGCACAAGGGACCGAGAUUACUGGAUGACAAAAUCAAAGAUCAUCUUCGAUGUCUUCGUCAAGGAGAUGGCACAACAGAGGUUAUGAGGCAAUUUGGUCUUCUGCAGUUGGAACUGCCUCUCCCUAUAGAGAACCCGGUGCCAGCACACAUCCACAGGACGACAAGGAAGGGCAUGACCAGGACAACUGUUGACUGGCUAGUUAGACUAGAGCCGUAUGUUAUAGAAUGGGAGACAGCAAACACACAUCUAUGGCACGACAAUCACAAUUUUGAGCUCAAUGAAUUCAAUCUCUAUUUGCGGCGCUACAUGACCGGAACACGGUUACACAUCGUUGACCACUCCCACCCAGAGGAGAUACCGGAUCCUACUCCGUUGGAUAUGUACCCGAGCUAUGACACUUCGGGCUCUAGGCAGUACAUGGCUACUUUGACACACGAACUCUACGAGGACGUGACCACCUUUGGACGAUCACUGUCGUCUGGACCUCUUCUUCAACACCGUCCAGUGCUACAACCCUUAUUGGAACGAAUUCAGAACAAGAUACGGACUGUGUACGAGGCUAUCACGUGCACCCGGAGAACCGACAUUGUUCAGCACCAGCAGCAGCAACCGCGUCACUCCAUGUACCGACAUCAACCACGUCCACGUCUAGCACAUCAGCCGUCAACCAGGCCACCCCGUCCUGACCAACCUGGCAGUUCAACGUGGCAGCAACCACAACACUAUGGCCCCACGUCGAGCUUCGUGCUUUCUCCACAGCCACAGCAACACGGUCCUUCGUCGAGCUUCGUGUUUGAGCCAAAGCAGCCGUCACAACCAGCAGGAGCCUACGGAUAUCAUGCGUCUAUGUCAGCAUCACAUGAUAUGUGGGGGAGUGAUCAACAUCCCGAGGAAAACAUACAUGCUCAGAUGUCGCAGCACACCCAGUGGAUGAACAUGUAUUCGACUCCUCCACCAGGCCCCACACAGGAUACACAGCAUGACCAGGGAGAGUCUGAAAUUCCUCCUCGUAACAUUAGGCCACCUAACAGGUUGGGAUGGUCGCCGCUUUCAGAUCCGCCUCCCCGCCAGGCCAGACGUCGUCACUGA